Molecule: non-coding RNA, 103 nt
Filed under: Pedobacter glucosidilyticus
Lineage: Bacteria; Pseudomonadati; Bacteroidota; Sphingobacteriia; Sphingobacteriales; Sphingobacteriaceae
Description: SAM-I sequence
Rfam family: SAM riboswitch aptamer (S box leader)
About the family: The SAM riboswitch is found upstream of a number of genes which code for proteins involved in methionine or cysteine biosynthesis in Gram-positive bacteria. The SAM riboswitch acts at the level of transcription termination control.
Source: RNAcentral
GAUUUAUAAAGAAGUGGUGAGAGAAUAGGCUCUAAGACCCACUGGCAACCUCACAAAGAUUGUGAAAGGUGCCAAAUCCUACCCCGAAAAGGAAAUAUAAAUA